RNAcentral lists this ribosomal RNA (468 nucleotides) under uncultured bacterium. Its description in RNAcentral is "partial 16S ribosomal RNA". It matches the Rfam family "Bacterial small subunit ribosomal RNA", at positions 28 to 507 of the family's 1533-position model. The record is from RNAcentral.
GACGAACGCUGGCGGCGUGCUUAACACAUGCUAGUCGAACGGAAAGGCCCUGCUUUUGUGGGUUGCUCGAGUGGCGAACGGGUGAGUAACACGUGAGUAACCUGCCCUUGACUUUGGGAUAACUUCAGGAAACUGGGGCUAAUACCGGAUAGGAGCUCCUGCUGCAUGGUGGGGGUUGGAAAGUUUCGGCGGUUGGGGAUGGACUCGCGGCUUAUCAGCUUGUUGGUGGGGUAGUGGCUUACCAAGGCUUUGACGGGUAGCCGGCCUGAGAGGGUGACCGGCCACAUUGGGACUGAGAUACGGCCCAGACUCCUACGGGAGGCAGCAGUGGGGAAUAUUGAACAAUGGGCGGAAGCCUGAUGCAGCAACGCCGCGUGCGGGAUGACGGCCUUCGGGUUGUAACCCGCUUUCGCCUGUGACGAAGCGUGAGUGACGGUAAUGGGUAAAGAAGCACCGGCUAACUACGUG